Globicephala melas (long-finned pilot whale) is the source of this 4006-nucleotide non-coding RNA. The record is from RefSeq and is a predicted model, not a curated record. NCBI's taxonomy places the organism in Eukaryota, Metazoa, Chordata, Mammalia, Artiodactyla, Delphinidae.
CCGUCGUUCUCCUUGACGCCCACAUCUCCAUCUACAGCCCACAUCCCCCUCAGUGCAACCGUUCAGCUCAGAGGUCACCUUCCCUGGGAACCUUCAGGGAGAAACAUCCGGCUGGGGUGAGGCGUCUGUGUCCUGUGCUUUCUCGCAGCACCACAGAGGCUGCGCUGUAGCUGACCCAGGGGCGAGGGGCCAGGCACAGGUGAGAACUCUCCAGGGAGAACACAUGCCAUGCUUUGCCUGCUGGUAUAUCUCUAAUAUGUAGCCCUGGGCCUGCCGAGAGUUGGAACUGAAUACAUAAUGAAUUGAUGAAUGAACACCUUCCUUCCCUCUACAGUCCCCCCCGGUCAGGAACUCAGGAAAAGGAGGCACUAACGUGCAAACCAGAUGCCUAACACCCAGGAUUUAAGAGCGCUCCUGUGCUUCUCCCAGCCCGCUAUCAAAGGCAAGUGGGGUAACAUGAGGUGAAAAGAGGAAGGGACAGAAGACUGAAAGGAAGGCGUUCAUCACGUUUCUUGAUCGAUGAAAAGGUUAAGUAGACAAGUCCAUAGACCUGGGUCGGGCUGCCCCAGAAUGCUCCCUGCCUGGGCUCUGCCGACAGGGGCAGAGGCAGUCUUUCUGGGUCGGUCCCACGAAGGAGCCAGUCCUGGGCCACGGUGCUCAGGUCCUCCGAGGUGUUCUGUCCGGCUGGGCUCCUGGUGGGUGGCAUCAGCCUGGGCCAUGAUCAGUCCUGGGGUCCCACCCCAUCGUUCUCUGUCAGCCUGGGCCUUAGGCAGUGGUUGGCCCGCCUGCCCAGCCAUACGGGGGCAGGAUGGCCUGGACGAGAGGGGGGCGGAGGAGACCCUGGUGGUGCUGGGGAGCAAUCUAGCAGUGAGGCGGUGUGAGCACGGGCCAGGGGCGGGGCUCAGAUGAUACAGUGCUCUUGGGCCUUCUCUCCCAAGUAAAAGCGGCUGAAGAGGAAGGGGCUCAGGUUGAUGGUCUGGAAGUGGCCCUCCAGCAUCACCUCUGCCACAGCCCGGCCCACGGCGGGGGCCUGCUGGAGCCCGUGGCCACUGAAGCCCGUCGCAAAGUACAUGUUGACGACGAGGGGGUGAGGGCCCACCACGCCAUUCUGGUCAAAGGUGUUGUAGUCGUAGUAGCCAGCCCAAGCGCGCCGCACCUGCGGGGCACAGGACGCGGUGCGUCGGGAGGGCUGCCCCGCGCUCCGCCCCACCCACUCCCGGCUGGGCUCGGCGCACGGUACCCUCCACCACCGCUGAGCGCGCUCACGGGACGGGUCCUGUGAGGCAGGGGCCCCAACGGGGCCCAGAUGCUCUGGGGUCAUCUGUCUCCAUCCAGUUACCUUUAGAGUCUCAAAAGCUGGUACUCUCUGGGCCAGAUGGGGCCACACCUUCUCCUGGAAGAAAUCAUGGUCCACUUCCAGGUUCCCUGGGUCUGGUUCCUCCUCCUGGGGGCAGAGGUGGGGACAAGGCUUACGUUGCCCAGGACACACAUCAGACCCAGGCCUCGCUGGCCUCUUUAAUCUGUCCGCUUGGUAAGUGGUGGAUGGGGGUAAGAGACCCCAAGUCAAAGCCAGAGGGGACCGUGACAUCAGUACCAGCACUAGGCCCGCCAAAGAAGCCUGACUGCUCAGCGAUACCCGGUCUCUGUCUUCUCCCCGGCACCCCGACCCCACAGAGCUCACCUCAGCGGGGCUACAGCCGCCCAGGUAGUUGUUGCUGAGUCCUUCCCGGCGGAAAUAGGCUCCGCUGGGGUCUGCGACAAGCGGAGCCUCCAGGCCUGGUCCCUGGGGGCAGUGCCACAAGUACACAUACCUGCCGUGACCAGCGGCGUUAGAAGCGGCGAGAACAGCAACUCCCUUCCCCGACUCUCCUCUCACCCCCACCCGGCUCCACGGCCCUGGGCAAGUCACCUUUUCCUCGGCUCCACGGGCAGCUUGGUACCCUGAAGAGUACCAGACGGCCCCUUCCCAAUGCCAGCCAGCUCUGCGAUUCGCCCAGACCAGGCUCCCGCUGCAUUGACCACUAUGGAGCAUUCCACGGGCUGGUACUCCUGGCUGUGGUCCACCUUCACCUAUGGGCACCAGAGAGGGGGGUGGAGGGAGCAGUCCAGUUCUUCCUGAACCUCAGUUUACCCACACUGGAAGUGGGUAGCAGAAGAUCAAAAUAACAGCUGUUACGUUUCUCAUUAGGUAAAGGAGACACCUAGGCUGGGAACUUACAUGGACUUCAUGGAUCCUUUUCAAAGUCACCUUCUCCCCGAUGGCGGUCUCCAUGUGGUUAGAUGAAGAGACGAAACCUGCAUGAAAAAGGAAAGGAAAUAAGCCCUUGAGGCCUCAAAGAGGAAGGAGAUGGAGAUUCCACUGGUUUCCUGAGGAAAGAAAGCUGGAAGGCUGGAAGCUUUCCCACAGACACUGAAGCAAAGAGACAGGGUAACCGGGAUGAACUUGGCCGCACAGGACAGGAGGGUGCCAAAAUCUUCAAGCAGAUCACGAGUCACGGCCAAAUGCAGUUAGGAGCCAGGGUCAGGAUGCCCAGGACCAGUCCCCAGGGGAGAACCCCCUGUCCUGAGAAAGCACAGCCCUUGCUCAGCCUGUGCGUGAAGGUAAGACCCUGUCUGGGCUGGCGUCCUGGCUGGCAGAGGUCACAAGCAGUGGACAUGGGGCCGCAGACUCACGUGUCACCUCUCCGUGGCAGAAAAGGACCCCCAUGGACUGGACCUUUCGCCGAAGCCCCUGGAGCAGACACCAGGGGUCAAACCAACCUUCGUUCUCCAACCCUGUGCGGAGAACGAGGAUGCGUGAAGGCGGGCUAGGACCCUCCUCUCCUGUUGUCUCUCCUGCACCCCUAAAUCUUCUUUAGGGCUCGUAAGCUGGGGAGUCACAUUGACCAACUGCACCAGAGUCAGAUCCCGCGGAAGGACAGAGAGCCGGCCCGGCCCGGGAGAGGCCCUGCAGCCAGGAGGGAAGCGCUCCUCCUUGACUCGGCUGCAGGGUGCCGAGACUCCUAACCUGAGGCGCCCCUCAACCCCUGACGCCCUCUGCACGCAAGCCUCACCGUAAGAUGCCAAAGCCACUCCCUCCGUGUUCAUCCAGGGAAACUUCUUCCGAAGCUGCUCCGGAGACAUCAGGCAAACUUUGGCUCCUUGCUGCCUGGAGAAAUGUGUGGGUCUACGUAUGUGUGCUGGACCUCUCUCUCCCCUGAGGCCAGGCUCCUGGACCAAGAGAUCCCGGCACACCUAGAGCCGCACUGCCCUCUGAAGCACGGACCUCUGAGUGGCACCUUAUCCUGGAUAUCCAUCGCCAGCAGCAAACCUACAUUCAUGUUGUCUGUUAUCAAGUCCUGACGACUGUGCCUCUUAAAUAUCUCCCCAAUCUGUCCCCUUUUUUCCCCAUCUCUACCACCACUGCCCUAGACCAAACCACGAUGUCUCUCCCACCUAAACCGUUAAAAGCUCCUGUUUCCACUCAUUCCCCUCUUGUCUAACCCCCCAACUUCUUUUCUAUAUCACGGCUAGAAUGAUCUCUUCUAAACACUAAUUUAAUCACACACUCUCUUGCUUAAAACCCUCCAGUGGGUUUCCAUUACCCUAAGGAUAAAAGUCCAAAAUCUUUCACGUGGCCUGCGAGACACUGCAUGAUCUGGCUCCUGUUUGCCCUGUCCUCCCCGAACGCUCCAGCCUCAGCCCCUUCAUUCCCGCCACAGGGGAUCCACACAGGUGUUCUCCCUGCUUUGAAACUCUGUGCCCACUUCUUUGCCCAGCUAACUCCUUGCUUCCUUUAGAUCUCAGCUCAGUUAUCAUUUUCUCAGGGAUGGCUUCUUUCCUGACCCCCUAGACUGUGCCAAGUUCUCCUGUCAUGCUAUCUCAUAGGUGCGUGAACCACUCUUUUGCAGCAUGCAACACACUUGCAACUUUGAGUUUAUCUGUGAUUGCUUCAUGCUGUACUAUGUACUAUGUACUAGAUUCUCCAUAGAAUCUCCAGUCUAGAACAGUACCUGGCACAUCCUAA